UUUCCGUAGGUGAACCUGCGGAAGGAUCAUUCAUAAUAAGUGUUUUAUGGCACUUUUUUAAAUCCAUAUCCACCUUGUGUGCAAUGUCAGGGUUGAUUUUUCUCUUGAGAGGAUCAACCCCAAACAUCAACUAUAUCUCAACUCUUUGUCUGAAAAAUAUUAUGAAUAAAACAAUUCAAAAUACAACUUUCAACAACGGAUCUCUUGGCUCUC
RNAcentral lists this unclassified non-coding RNA (213 nucleotides) under plant metagenome. Its description in RNAcentral is "partial contains small subunit ribosomal RNA, internal transcribed spacer 1, and 5.8S ribosomal RNA". The record is from RNAcentral.